This 571-nucleotide long non-coding RNA is filed under the name Prunus persica (peach). RNAcentral's name for it is "long non-coding RNA (PPER_LNC003240)". The record is from RNAcentral. Lineage: Eukaryota; Viridiplantae; Streptophyta; Magnoliopsida; Rosales; Rosaceae.
GCCAAGAGAUUGUGGAAUUGAGAAGUUUCCUUGAAGAAGAGAAUUGUUGGGUAGGGUAAGUUUCUCUUUUUCACUACUUUUUUUUUUUUUUUUGGUCUUUCUAAAAUUCCAAAACAUUGGAAUUUUUUGCACAAAGUCUCCUCUAACAAAUGGCUUUCCAAAAUAGUCAGAUUCUUGAGGAGAGGUUGUUGGGGUCGAUGUUGGAUGAAGAACCCAAAAGGACGCUUUACUCUCUCAUUUUGACGGGCAAAUUGGCAGAAUUGGACAGUAGGACCUAAUGGGAAUUAUUUGUCGAGUUAACGGAUGUAAUUGCCUUUAAAAAAAUUCGAGGACCCAAUUGUAACUGGAGGCAAAGUUGAGGGACGUCUAUAGUUAAAAACCCUAUAUGAUAUUACAUUAUAAGCUACUUAGCAUGCAUUUCUACUAAAUGUAAAGGAGCAGGAGCAUUAAAAUCAAAGUUAGAGCUUAAAUGACAGGACCCGACCCAAAGUCCCCUUUGGAAUCCGAGCCAACCCUGUUCGUGAUCAACACCUGGCAAGUGCUGAGCACAAUUGACCUGGUUGCCCUUCUG